This 1769-nucleotide ribosomal RNA is filed under the name Blastococcus sp. URHD0036. Its description in RNAcentral is "bacterial LSU rRNA". It matches the Rfam family "Bacterial large subunit ribosomal RNA", at positions 1204 to 2856 of the family's 2925-position model. The record is from RNAcentral. Lineage: Bacteria; Bacillati; Actinomycetota; Actinomycetes; Geodermatophilales; Geodermatophilaceae.
GACGGCCAGGUGUGUGGAUGGGUAGGGGAGCGUCGUGUGGCGGUAGAAGCGGCGGAGUGAUCCAGCCGUGGACGCCACGCGAGUGAGAAUGCAGGCAUGAGUAGCGAGAGGGGAGUGAGAAACUCCCCCGCCGGAAGACCAAGGGUUCCUGGGCCAGGCUAAUCCGCCCAGGGUGAGUCGGGACCUAAGGCGAGGCCGACAGGCGUAGUCGAUGGACAACGGGUUGAUAUUCCCGUACCCGCGAAGGAACGCCCAUGCUGAACCCAGCGAUACUAACCGCCCGAACACCCGUUGCCGGCUCUUUCGAGGGUCGGUGCGGGGACUAGCGCGGGACCUGGACUGGUAGUAGGCAAGCGAUGGGGUGACGCAGGAAGGUAGUCCUACCGGUGAGUGGUAGUACCGGUGCAAGGGUGUGGCCCGUGGGAUAGGUAAAUCCGUUCCACAUACAGGGUGAGGCCUGACGCAUAGCCGAAUGAGGCGAAUGGGAUGAUCCUAUGCUGCCGAGAAAAGCCUCUAGCGAGUUCCGAGCGGCCCGUACCCCAAACCAACUCAGGUGGUCAGGUAGAGAAUACCAAGGCGAUCGAGCGAACUGUGGUUAAGGAACUCGGCAAAAUGCCCCCGUAACUUCGGGAGAAGGGGGGCCAUCUACUGUCAACCGCCUUGCGCGGGGUAGCGGUGGGUGGCCGCAGAGACCAGUGAGAAGCGACUGUUUACUAAAAACACAGGUCCGUGCGAAGUCGUAAGACGAUGUAUACGGACUGACGCCUGCCCGGUGCUGGAACGUUAAGGGGACGGGUUAGUCCUUCGGGGCGAAGCUCAGAACUCAAGCGCCAGUAAACGGCGGUGGUAACUAUAACCAUCCUAAGGUAGCGAAAUUCCUUGUCGGGUAAGUUCCGACCUGCACGAAUGGCGUAACGACUUCUCAGCUGUCUCAACCACAGGCUCGGCGAAAUUGCACUACGAGUAAAGAUGCUCGUUACGCGCGGCAGGACGGAAAGACCCCGGGACCUUCACUAUAGCUUGAUAUUGGUGUUCGGUUCGGCUUGUGUAGGAUAGGUGGGAGACUGUGAAGCGGGCACGCCAGUGUUCGUGGAGUCGCCGUUGAAAUACCACUCUGGUCGAAUUGGAUGUCUAACCUCGGUCCGUGAUCCGGAUCAGGGACAGUGUCAGGUGGGUAGUUUAACUGGGGCGGUUGCCUCCCAAAAUGUAACGGAGGCGCCCAAAGGUUCCCUCAGCCUGGUUGGCAAUCAGGUGUUGAGUGCAAGUGCACAAGGGAGCUUGACUGCGAGACCGACGGGUCGAGCAGGAGCGAAAGCUGGGACUAGUGACCCGGCACCGGCAUGUGGAAGCGGUGUCGCUCAACGGAUAAAAGGUACCCCGGGGAUAACAGGCUGAUCUUCCCCAAGAGUCCAUAUCGACGGGAUGGUUUGGCACCUCGAUGUCGGCUCGUCGCAUCCUGGGGCUGGAGUAGGUCCCAAGGGUUGGGCUGUUCGCCCAUUAAAGCGGUACGCGAGCUGGGUUUAGAACGUCGUGAGACAGUUCGGUCCCUAUCCGCCGCGCGCGUAAGAGACUUGAGAAGAGCUGUCCCUAGUACGAGAGGACCGGGACGGACGAACCUCUGGUGUGCCAGUUGUACCGCCAGGUGCACUGCUGGUUGGCUACGUUCGGCAGGGAUAACCGCUGAAAGCAUCUAAGCGGGAAGCUCGCUUCAAGAUGAGGUCUCUCACCCAGUCAAUGGGGUAAGGCCCCCGCCCAGACCAGCGGGUUGA